Molecule: long non-coding RNA, 599 nt
Filed under: Sus scrofa (pig)
Lineage: Eukaryota; Metazoa; Chordata; Mammalia; Artiodactyla; Suidae
Description: lncRNA (ENSSSCG00035072542.1)
Source: RNAcentral
AUGAAUGAGUUCCUGGAUGCACACAGAUAUGCUGGACCACUUGGUGUAGCUGCAGAAAAAGCAACACCGAAACCACUGCAAGGAAAGAUGCUUAGCAGGCACCUGUGGCCGAACAAACAGAGUCUGUUCCCUCCCCAGGAGGCUGCUGCUGUGAUAAAGUGUCUCUUUAUCCAGCUGUCUUCUGCUAAUGAAGUGCACUUGUGUGAGGUUUUGAAGGUAGAAGAGAAAUGGAAUAUAUUCUUCUUCCCUGUGCAUCGAGGUUGGACAUGGAAGCUGUGAACUGAAGUUUGGCACUUGCCAUCAGCCUCUACAUGGAGUAAAACAGUCCCUGCAGCUGCCGACCCACAAGCCCCCUGAGCGGACCUCAGGGUGGAGGCCAGAGGGAGGCCCUCUGUGCUCUGGGGAUACUGGAAGAACAGGUCUUCAGAUGGUUAGACAUUUUUAGGAGAAGAUUUUAUGAGCCUGAUUCUUGCAUCUCCUCAUAUCUAGAAAAACACUAAAAUUCUUCAGUGAUGACUGAUGUUGGUGACUAGUAGUAACCCUCACGAGACCAGCAGCAAACUUCGACAAAACGUAUGCCUGGCUGCAUGCACCUCCCC